Ipomoea nil (Japanese morning glory) is the source of this 139-nucleotide long non-coding RNA. RefSeq lists it as uncharacterized. The transcript is spliced from 3 exons. The record is from RefSeq and is a predicted model, not a curated record. NCBI's taxonomy places the organism in Eukaryota, Viridiplantae, Streptophyta, Magnoliopsida, Solanales, Convolvulaceae.
AUAUAGAUUUUGCUAACUAAUUGGAAUUAAAUUGAAUCAAAAUAUUAUCAUUCAAAACCUAAUGAAGAAUCUAAGUUGACAACCACGUUUCCUAAUAACAUAGUACACUAGAUGAUAAAGCAAGGAAAGAAAAGUACAA